This is a non-coding RNA of Rattus norvegicus (Norway rat), 736 nucleotides long. NCBI's taxonomy places the organism in Eukaryota, Metazoa, Chordata, Mammalia, Rodentia, Muridae. The record is from RefSeq and is a predicted model, not a curated record.
CUCUGAGAAGCCCUGGGCUGGUCUAUGCAGCACUGGGUCAGAAGUUCCCUGUGGAGCAGGCCAGCUUGACUGACAAAACAAAUAUGCUAAAAAUAACAAGCUGGUGAUUCUCUUUCUUACUUUAUCAGGUUGUCAGGAAAUUUGAGUACUUUUGUAAUUUGAAAAGCAUAGCUGGAUCUUUCUUGUCAUAACUGAUUAUUUUGGGACUCUAACAGUGAUGCACUCAGUCAGACAGUGAAACUGUGGAGAUCACUGAUUUGAAAGCAGAUGGCAGGAUUCCCUACUCAUUUGGCUCCCAGAGAAGCCCAGCACAUUGCUCCUGCUCUAGAGACAGAGUGGCCCUCUGGAGAGAGGAGAGGAGAGGAAAGAAAGGAGACAGACUCAGAGUGACAUCAUAGAAUGUUAUUCUAGGCAUUGACUAGCGUGUCUAACUGGAUUAUUUCAUUGCUGCAGCAGCUACUUUAAAACGUUUGAAGUUGUUUUGUGCGUACUCAGGAAGUGUGUGUGCAUCUGGAAGUAAGACGACAACUCCUGGGAGUCAGUCCUCGCCUUCCGCUGUACAGUACGGGGAGGACGCUCAGCUCACCAGGCGUGACCAUCGUCCUUAGCUCCUGGGCCUGCUUCCAAGCACCCAUGGCUCAUUUUCUAAUUGUCUUCCAGUCUCUGUAAGUUGAAGUGUAAUGCGUGAUGUAGGGGACUCCUGUCUGUUGAGAUUAAAAUAGUUUGUCCUAUGAAA